UGGGGAAUAUUGCACAAUGGGCGCAAGCCUGAUGCAGCCAUGCCGCGUGUAUGAAGAAGGCCUUCGGGUUGUAAAGCACUUUCAGCGGGGAGGAAGGCGUUAAGGUUAAUAACCUUGGCGAUUGACGUUACCCGCAGAAGAAGCACCGGCUAACUCCGUGCCAGCAGCCGCGGUAAUACGGAGGGUGCAAGCGUUAAUCGGAAUUACUGGGCGUAAAGCGCACGCAGGCGGUCUGUCAAGUCGGAUGUGGAAUCCCCGGGCUCAACCUGGGAACUGCAUCUGAUACUGGCAAGCUUGAGUCUCGUAGAGGGGGGUAGAAUUCCAGGUGUAGCGGUGAAAUGCGUAGAGAUCUGGAGGAAUACCGGUGGCGAAGGCGGCCCCCUGGACGAAGACUGACGCUCAGGUGCGAAAGCGUGGGGAGCAAACAGG
Molecule: ribosomal RNA, 429 nt
Filed under: Chloroflexota bacterium
Lineage: Bacteria; Bacillati; Chloroflexota
Description: Chloroflexi bacterium partial 16S ribosomal RNA
Rfam family: Bacterial small subunit ribosomal RNA
Source: RNAcentral